AUUCCACAUCAUUCCAAACAGGCUGUAAGACUUCUACUCUCCCAAAAUAAAGAGAGCCUGAGACUUCUUGCCCGACGCCACUUCCCCCUCUUCCAUCGGCGACACCCAACGACCAGCGGCCACCUUCCUCUUCGCCGCCGCCGGUCGGCCAUAUCUCUCCCCUCUCCCUCUUCCACCUUCAUUUCAUCCACAGCCGACGCCAACGCACACCAACAACAGCUUCCUCGCCAUCCAGCCACUCUGCCACCGCCAGAGCUCCUCCCCUCUUCGGGUUCGAAGAGGAGAGGCUCUGAUCUUCAUCUUUAACCCAACCUAUAGCCAGCUAAGGAUCUGCCAGCGAAUGCCUCGUCCUCCAUCCGCGAUGCCACUAGCACCUCUUCCAUCACCGCCGACCAGAUUCAUCUUAUGUUUUAAUUGAAGUUGAGUAUUUGAUGACUGACGAAACUGGUAUUUUGCUUGUCCUUGGUCGAACUACAUAAAGAUGCAAAUUUUAGCUUCUCAUGCAUUUUUUCAUUUCGAUCUAGGGUUUCUUUUAAUCGUGUCAGCGUCACUCAGGAAGAUUUGGAGCUUAUUAGGAUGUAUUUUGUAGACAGAUUAGGAACGUAAUUUUGACUACCUCCAAGUAGAUUGAUCAUCUUUUUUGAGAGCGUUCUAGAUCAUUGUUCCCCUUUUGAUGUUGUUUGGUCAAUUUACCAAACCAUGGAAUGACCUAUUGCUUUCUAGUGAAUUAUUUCUAGGCUCUUUGAUCAAGUGUUAUAUUAUACUUAAUUUGUAUACUGAUAUCUAAGCUUCAUUUGUAAUUUAUUUAUAACUCUUGUUGAUGCUUCAAAAUUGCAACUUAUCAACUAGAAUAUGUAAGCCGUGCAGCUGUGAAUACAGUCGCUCUACACCCAAAUCAAGUAUUUGUUUUUAUAAUUUUGUUUUUUUAAUACUGUUCUGCACAUAUUCAUGAUGGAUGCAAUAUAAAAGUCUUUUUUUCCUUCUAAAAAUGUAAUUUUUAUUUUAUACCACCAUUAUUAAUCGCCUGUAUUUUGUUGUAGCUCCAUAUUGUUACUCAUUAAUCUACUAGUGAAGUGGAUGAGCAACUCUUUUAAUCAACCAGGUUCAAUUAGUUUGUAACAGAUGCUCCUACCAAUUUUGGGGCACUAUUUUACAAACUAUCAAGUUUAACUAUCUUGCAGAAGGAAUGUAACCAAUAUCUAGUGAUCAAAACGGUAACAAUAGAGUAUGAGAUCUUGCUACAAAUUCAUGCAGCUGUGAGUUAGUAGGUUUCAGUUUGACUGUGAUGUGGGAUGAAAGCAUGUUUGUUGUUGCAAAUAAUCAUGAACAUGUUAUGUCUGACACUUACUAAAAGAAACUCAGGUACUGGAGGUUUGAUGUGAAAUAAGCCUUUUGGAGCUCUUGCGCAUGAUGACAUUUUUGCAUACGAAGACUUUAGAGAAAUGAAUAGUUUUGAUGUAAAUGGAUGUGAAUUUUACAAGUUUAAUGGUGUACAUACAAUUAUCAUGAACUAAUACAUGAUAUUUUAAUAUAUAUGGUGUUUUUAUUUUUAA
Zingiber officinale is the source of this 1553-nucleotide long non-coding RNA. RefSeq lists it as uncharacterized. The transcript has 4 exons. NCBI's taxonomy places the organism in Eukaryota, Viridiplantae, Streptophyta, Magnoliopsida, Zingiberales, Zingiberaceae. The record is from RefSeq and is a predicted model, not a curated record.